CGCGGGUGAGUAACACGUAUCCAACCUGCCGUCUACUCUUGGACAGCCUUCUGAAAGGAAGAUUAAUACAAGAUGGCAUCAUGAGUCCACAUGUUCACAUGAUUAAAGGUAUUCCGGUAGACGAUGGGGAUGCGUUCCAUUAGAUAGUAGGCGGGGUAACGGCCCACCUAGUCUUCGAUGGAUAGGGGUUCUGAGAGGAAGGUCCCCCACAUUGGAACUGAGACACGGUCCAA
RNAcentral lists this ribosomal RNA (233 nucleotides) under uncultured bacterium. RNAcentral's name for it is "partial 16S ribosomal RNA". It matches the Rfam family "Bacterial small subunit ribosomal RNA", at positions 103 to 334 of the family's 1533-position model. The record is from RNAcentral.